AUUGAACGCUGGCGGCAGGCCUAACACAUGCUAGUCGAGCUGAUGAAGUGAGCUUGCUCCUGGAUUCAGCUUCUGACUUUUUAGUAAUUCCUAGUAAUCUGCCUUGUAGUGUUUUAUAACGUCCUUAAACGGGCGCUAAUACCGCAUACGUCCUUAUUGAGAAAGUGUUGUUUCUUCUGACCUCACGCUAUCAUAUGUUCCUAGGUCGGAUUAGCUAGUUGGUGGGGUAAAGGCCUACCAAGGCGACUAUCCGUAACUGGACUGAGAGGAUUAUCAGUCACACUGGAAGUGAGACACGGUCCAGACUACUAAGGGAGGCAGCAGUGGGGAAAAUAGGAAAAUGGGCGAAAGAAUGAACCAGCCAUGCAGCGUGUGUGAAGAAGGUCUUCGGAUUGUAAAGCACUUUAAGUUGGGAGGAAGGGCAGUAAGUUAAUAACUUGCUGUUUUGACGUUACAAACAGAAUAAGCACCGGAUAACUUCGUG
RNAcentral lists this ribosomal RNA (484 nucleotides) under uncultured bacterium. RNAcentral describes it as "partial 16S ribosomal RNA". It matches the Rfam family "Bacterial small subunit ribosomal RNA", at positions 30 to 507 of the family's 1533-position model. The record is from RNAcentral.